This 22-nucleotide non-coding RNA is filed under the name Arabidopsis thaliana (thale cress). The record is from RNAcentral. Lineage: Eukaryota; Viridiplantae; Streptophyta; Magnoliopsida; Brassicales; Brassicaceae.
UUUUAGGGCACAUCAAGUUGUC